UACCCUGCGGUGUGCGCAAUUUAGGAUUUAUUUUAACCAACACAUCUUAUAAGGGAGAUUGCGUCGGUCUGUGGCGUGUAAGCCCUCCGUUUGAAGAGGGAAACCCAGGAGCAGACCGCAUUUCACCCACCUGCUCACGCAGGUUUAGAAUAGUCCGGUUAAACGGCACUGCGGGGCUU
Molecule: non-coding RNA, 179 nt
Filed under: human gut metagenome
Description: 6S / SsrS RNA
Rfam family: 6S / SsrS RNA
About the family: E. coli 6S RNA was the first non coding RNA to be sequenced, but its function was unknown until recently. It consists of 184 nucleotides that fold into an extended hairpin structure with a large single-stranded internal bulge.
Source: RNAcentral